UGUGUGUCUGUGUGUGUGUGUUCAGAGUUUCGUGGCCAGUAAGACCAGGCCUCUGUUCUACUGGCUGGGUUUGACUGACGGCCACACCGGUGAGUGGGAAUGGCUGGACGGAACACCGUACACGGUCAUCAGGAGUGAAUGGAUGCCCGGUCAGCCGGAUGACUGGACGGCUCACGGUUUGGGAGGUGGUGAAGACUGCGCUCACUUUCAUCACGACGGACGCUAUAACGACGACCACUGCUCUCGGCGCUACCGCUAUAUCUGCAAAGCUCACGCCUCCUCCAUCUGAGACACGAAUGUCCUUCACAGCGUCAACACUUUACAACAAAACUACAUCAAACCAACAAACAACAUCAGUGUGAUUAUAAACACUAAUAAUGUUUAAUAUUUCAAGGUUUCUGAUUCUUAUAUUUACUGUAUGUAAACAACAAAA
Sinocyclocheilus anshuiensis is the source of this 433-nucleotide long non-coding RNA. RefSeq lists it as uncharacterized. The record is from RefSeq and is a predicted model, not a curated record. The transcript is spliced from 2 exons. NCBI's taxonomy places the organism in Eukaryota, Metazoa, Chordata, Actinopteri, Cypriniformes, Cyprinidae.